This is a long non-coding RNA of Rhipicephalus sanguineus (brown dog tick), 667 nucleotides long. RefSeq lists it as uncharacterized. The transcript has 2 exons. The record is from RefSeq and is a predicted model, not a curated record. Lineage: Eukaryota; Metazoa; Arthropoda; Arachnida; Ixodida; Ixodidae.
GUGGUCUCUUUCCUGGGCCGGCUGUCGUCCAGCCGCCGAAUACGUAACAGCUGGUGGUAGCGGUGGCGGCGGUAUGGAGCGCACGUCGAAGGCGGCCUUGGCGUCCGGUUUGAUCCUGUCGUGCCGGAUGGCGAAGUAAACCCUGCUCCAGGCGCCUGCAGCCAACUCCCGUGCUGCAGCCAAUCGACACUCGGCGAGUGGUGCCCGUUCUGAACAUCGCCUCCUCUUGGCCUUUAAUGCCAAUCUUCGUGGCCGUGUUCCAGCCAGAAGACGCGCAAUGCCAUCUCCAUUUCUUUCUGCGGUGGCUACUUCAACGACCAGUGCCACCAUGCACCUCAGCGUCUUGACCCACGCCAUGCACAAGGACAAUAUGACCGUGCGAAACGUGUCAGUGCUGUGCUUGGACAAACCUGCCCACGUGUUGGCUGCCUGUUCCCACCUCCAGCCGUUCAUGAAGCGUCAUCCUCUUGAACUUCUGUUAUGGGUAGCUUUGGCCGAGUUGUAACAUUCGCACUGCUCGCCCUCUUUCUACGUCGGGGCUUUCUGAAACAUUGCCCCGCUUGCUGUUAUCUUGCUGUUUUCUUUUCUUUCGUGCCAACUUGCGAUUGGCUGUGUAGCGCUUAAAAACGCGUCGCAAGGUGAAUAAACUGGGAUUGUCUUCCUGGCA